GACGAACGCUGGCGGCGUGCCUAAUACAUGCAAGUUGAGCGAUGAAGAUUGGUGCUUGCACCAAUUUGAAGAGCAGCGAACGGGUGAGUAACGCGUGGGGAAUCUGCCUUUGAGCGGGGGACAACAUUUGGAAACGAAUGCUAGUACCGCAUAACAACUUUAAACAUAAGUUUUAAGUUUGAAAGAUGCAAUUGCAUCACUCAAAGAUGAUCCCGCGUUGUAUUAGCUAGUUGGUGAGGUAAAGGCUCACCAAGGCGAUGAUACAUAGCCGACCUGAGAGGGUGAUCGGCCACAUUGGGACUGAGACACGGCCCAAACUCCUACGGGAGGCAGCAGUAGGGAAUCUUCGGCAAUGGACGAAAGUCUGACCGAGCAACGCCGCGUGAGUGAAGAGGGGUUUCGGAUCGUAAAACUCUGUUGGUAGAGAAGAACGUUGGUGAGAGUGGAAAGCUCAUCAAGUGACGGUAACUACCCAGAAAGGGACGGCUAACUACGUG
This 497-nucleotide ribosomal RNA is filed under the name uncultured bacterium. RNAcentral's name for it is "partial 16S ribosomal RNA". It matches the Rfam family "Bacterial small subunit ribosomal RNA", at positions 28 to 507 of the family's 1533-position model. The record is from RNAcentral.